GUAGGGAAUUUUCGGCAAUGGGCGAAAGCCUGACCGAGCAAUGCCGCGUGAAUGAAGAAAUUCUUCGGAAUGUAAAAUUCUGUGGUGAGGGAAGAAAGGUAUUAGAAGGAAAUGGCUAAUAUUUGACGGUACCUUACUAGAAAGCCCCGGCUAACUAUGUGCCAGCAGCCGCGGUAAUACAUAGGGGGCAAGCGUUAUCCGGAAUUAUUGGGCGUAAAGCGUGCGUAGGCGGCCACUUAAGUCUGUCGUGAAAGCCCACAGCUUAACUGUGGAGGGUCGAUGGAAACUGAGAGGCUUGAAUCUAGGAGAGGUAAGUGGAAUUCCAUGUGUAGCGGUAAAAUGCUUAGAUAUAUGGAGGAACACCAGUGGCGAAGGCGGCUUACUGGUCUAGAAUUGACGCUGAUGCACGAAAGCGUGGGUAGCAAACAGGA
RNAcentral lists this ribosomal RNA (431 nucleotides) under uncultured bacterium. RNAcentral describes it as "bacterial SSU rRNA". It matches the Rfam family "Bacterial small subunit ribosomal RNA", at positions 354 to 777 of the family's 1533-position model. The record is from RNAcentral.